Molecule: small nuclear RNA, 19 nt
Filed under: Arabidopsis thaliana (thale cress)
Lineage: Eukaryota; Viridiplantae; Streptophyta; Magnoliopsida; Brassicales; Brassicaceae
Description: snRNA_01240
Source: RNAcentral
AGGGUUCGAGUGUGAGCAU